This is a long non-coding RNA of Gallus gallus (chicken), 494 nucleotides long. Lineage: Eukaryota; Metazoa; Chordata; Aves; Galliformes; Phasianidae. The record is from Ensembl.
GAAGAACCCGAAAGGCAAAACGACGCGGCCCCAAAUAAGAGGCGGAGGAGCACCUGCGGGUGAGAUUUAUGGCAUCCAGCGAACAGGCGAUCAACUUCCUUAAAGUUCUUGAAGGCUUCCAAACAACAGCCCCAUCGCCUGGCAGCCUUUAAAAAAAAGGAGACUUUGAUACCGCAUCUGGAAGGGGAUUUCGAACGCUUUCGCUUCCCGAACAAAACAAGGCAGGAAAAUCCUAAAUAAUAAUCAUAAUAGCAAUAAAGAAACCAGAAGUUCCUCCCGGCUUUGGAGUUCUUAAAGAGGAAUAUGGGGAAAAUGCGCUCCGGGGCGCUCAGCUCCGUCCCGCCCCGAAGCUCCGCAGCCCCCGCAGAGCAGCGCAAAAGCCGCGCAAAAAGCCGCGCAGCUCCGCCCGGAGCCGCGCAGCCCCUCCUGCGCUCUCACCCAAAUCCUCUCCCUCUGGUUUUGUUUCGGGACGGUUUUCUUCCCCCCGAUGUCAC